AGCUUCCGGAGCAGCUGGGACUGCUGGCGCCCGCCACUACGCUCGGCUAAUUUUUUUGUGUUUUUAGUAGAGACGGGCUUUCACCGUGUUGGCCUAGCGGUUCUCCAACUCCUGACCUCAUGAUCCCCCCGCCUCAGCCUCCCAAAGUGCUGGGAUUACAAGCGUGAGCCACCGCGACCCGCCAACACUCUUGACAACAGUGCUGUGCUAAGAACUUGGGGGACUUCAAAAAGUUCACCAGUUCCUGUGUCCAUGGGUGAAAAGAUUUUCUACAUCUUUCCUUGACUAGAAACAGAAGUCCUGAAACAAGAAUAUAACGUCAGGAGGCCAGAGGCUUUGUCCUGCCUAAUGUGUUAUUUCCACACUGAAUAAAAGCACCUGAGUCCUGGUAAGUCUAAUUUGCUAGGUGUGGCAAUAUGACCAGUGAAAAACAACAAGGGCAGCAUUUCCUGCAGUUCGGUGGCACAGUAUGGUUCAAAGAGGUAUAAAAGGAAGUCACAGGCAUUUUAAAAAGGUUGUACAUCUAGCAAUACCUAACAAAAUAGGAAAUCAACUUGAGAAAAAGCAGCAAGGCCAAAUAAAUUGAUACAGAAGAAAUGUUUAGAUAUGUUUUUGCAAGUUUCUGCAUAUCUGAAAUAGAACCAAUACAUCACAUGGUAUGUCCAGGAGUUAUAUAGGGUUGAGAUUUUUUAUGGGUUCUGAUUUGCAGAUGAGAAAACAGUGGCAUUGAGGAAUAAAGUGCCUUUCCCUAUGCCUCAUGAGGAAUCAGAGGCCCAGCUGCAAAGAAUUUUCAAGGAAAGAUAUUUCUAGUUCAAUGCUCUAUCCACAAGACAACGCUACAUCUUUCCUUUCACAGUUGUUUAUAUUUGGUUUAACAGCGGUUUUUAUUAAUGCCUUCUAAAUGAUUGAAAUACAGUUUUAAACCUGAAUUGUUACAACUGUAUUGUUACCUUUGUCUUUAUUAGUACAACAAUCUUUUUUCUUGUUUACUCUGUUAAGUGCUAAUGUAAAUAACAGCUUUUAUUUAGCAUAUUUUUGCUGACUGUUUUUACACUUUUUUGCUACCUCUCGCCUAACAAUAUUUGUCCCAUUCUUUUGCAAAUCUUUGAAUUCUAAAUUAAAUGAAGCUAGAUCUAUUCUAAAAGGAAUAGUACAUCAGUGUUCUUGUUUUUCAAUUCUAAUUAAAGCCUUCAACUCCCCUGCACUUACACUUUCUCAUAUUCCAUUGCUGCUGCACAAAUGCGAUUGCAGCUUACACGGGAGUAAUUUUAAUAUAAUUAAAAUGAUCUAAUAUUUCAAUUGUUUGCAGAGAAACUAAGUGUAUUCUCUCAGACACUCAUCAGUUUAACUUCCAGAUAAUAUCAAAGAAAAAAUGUCAUCUUUCUAAUCUCACUGCUGAUAAAGAGAAGUUUAUUUUUAUUCUUGGUGUAAUCAUUUAAAUAUUUUUUUCUCCAGUACUUCCUGAUUGCUUGUUUAAAAUUACAAUUCUGGUGUUAAUAAGCUGUAUAGUUCUAAGAAAAGUCACUUAAUACCCUCAAGGCUUUUGUUUUCUCAAAGGAAGGCUAUUAGACAACCACUCCUUGCCUUCCUUGUGGUAUAGGGUUCAUGGAGGAAGUGAAGGGGGCUUCAGCCUCACCAACUCCCUCCAUCUCCAAUAUACAGAGUGUGAGUCUCCAUCCUUCUUCAGUUAAAACUUUCACAUAGACCAAAUUAGCAUCAGAGUGUAGGUGUUUGUGCAGUUGAUUUCCCUUACUCGGUGGUCCUGAAGAAGUAAGUGUACAACUGAGACAUGCAAUUGUUGCACCCUUCUGUUUUGGGCACAAACUUUAAUGUCCAUUUCUUGGGGUCAAUGGCCACAAGAGGUGAAAAGGAUCUUCAUCUCCUCAAUAUGAUGACAAGGUCUUUAAGCAGUCAGGUCCAGUAUAACUGAAAGGUAGAUGUGUCAGUUCCUGAACAUACAACUACCUCAUUUUCAGGAGUAACGUAAGUAAAAAGUUACCAAUUAUUAACUGACAUUUUCAGGAAUAACCUAAGUAAGAAGUUACCGAUUAUUUUCAGGAAUAACUUAAGUAAGAAGUUACUGAUUAACUGAAGUAACAGUAUAAAGAGCAAAGAUGAAUCAAAGUGAAAAUGCAAAGAGUGAUUGUUUUCCUGUUUCAUCAGACAUAUCACACAGGUAUCACAUUAGAUGUGGUUCUCAGCUCCUCUUCAGGGGCUGCUGUCCUGGAUCACACACAGGAUAGGUGCUUAGUAUCUUCCACCAGCUUGAUGAACAUCUAGGCCUUCUGGCAUUGCACAGUUGCCAUUAAGGAAAGCAGCCCAUUCCUAGUCAACCUCUAUUGGCAUUCCUCUCCUUCAGCACCUGUCAUUUAUUCAUUAACUCACAAGAACAGUUAAAAACAAGAGAAACAGAUGUUGUUGAGCUCAUCAAACUGUAUACUUUUUUUCAGUUGAAUCUCACCUAGCUUCAAAUGGGAACAAGAUGUUCUUUAUGCUUUGGAUGUUCUUGUACUGCUGAUUUCUAAUUCUAGGAUUUCCCUAAUUCAAUGACAUUAAAAGUUAUAAAAUCCCUGGUAAACUAUGUCUAAGUGAGGGUAAGAUCUUUAUUUAAUGAAGGAGAAGGGCUUUUAGAAAUGAAUACUGAUUCCUUAACAGCAAUCCAGACUUCUUCAAAAAAGAAAAUAAAAAUAGAAGCAUAAAAUUUUACAGCUGUUAUGAAUCAGAAAUCUUCAGAUUUUUUCCCCCAUAAACCUCGUUUUUCCAUCAAAGCCUUGAGCUACACACACAGUCUAAUCUGAUGAGUAUUAUCAACCUUUAAUUUUCUUUGCUACUAGUCUGUUAUAGUCUUUGAUGUAGCCAUCCUGAUCUUCCUAUAAUUUGCAGCUUUGAUAGCCAAAGGAAGUAUAUUUUCUCUAAAGCAUGAAAAUUUUAGAGGAAGCACCCUAUGAUGCUCUUUCUUAUUAUCUAAUUUAGUAGCAUCAUAGAAAAUCAAAUCCAAUAUAAAUAAUUUAAGGAAUAACAAGAAUGAUUAGGAAAAUUCUUAUUUAAGAAUGUAUAAUGUAACCAUCAUUUAUUAUACACCAACUACAUGCAGAUUCUGUAUUAGAUUCAUGCAUUCAACAAAUAUGUAUAGAAAAUACACUAUGUGUCAAGCAUUGUUCUAAACUCUUGGGAUAUAACAGUGAACAAAACAGGCAAAAUUCCAUACAAGCAUGGUGUUUUAGUUAGCUUCUAAAAUAGCCCGUAAUGAUCUUCACUCCCUAGUAUUCACCCCCUUGUAUAAUGUCUUUCCCUUGGGUGUAGGCUAAACCUAGUAACUUAUUUCUAAUAAAUAGAAUAUCGUAUAAGUGUCAGUUCAGAGCAUAGGUUACAAACAUAAUGCAACUUCUGUCUUGGAAAUUCUCACUUUGUCUCACUUUC
This 3420-nucleotide long non-coding RNA is filed under the name Homo sapiens (human). RNAcentral's name for it is "HSALNT0376090". The record is from RNAcentral. Lineage: Eukaryota; Metazoa; Chordata; Mammalia; Primates; Hominidae.